CUGAGGCAAGGAAACCAUGAACCCCGGUUUAUUUUUGGUCACUUGAACAGGGUGGGGCAAAUAGUGAAACCAGCCUUACCUAUA
Molecule: non-coding RNA, 84 nt
Filed under: unclassified sequences
Description: c-di-GMP-II-AAA riboswitch
Rfam family: Cyclic di-GMP-II riboswitch aptamer
Source: RNAcentral